RNAcentral lists this ribosomal RNA (453 nucleotides) under uncultured microorganism. Its description in RNAcentral is "bacterial SSU rRNA". It matches the Rfam family "Bacterial small subunit ribosomal RNA", at positions 346 to 794 of the family's 1533-position model. The record is from RNAcentral.
GCGCAGCAGUCGAGAAUCUUCGGCAAUGGACGCAAGUCUGACCGAGCGACGCCGCGUGCGGGAUGAAGGCCCUUGGGUUGUAAACCGCUGUCAGAGGGGAUGAAAUGCGAGAGGGCUAUCCCUCUCGUUUGACAGAGCCUCAGAGGAAGCACGGGCUAAGUACGUGCCAGCAGCCGCGGUAACACGUACUGUGCGAACGUUAUUCGGAAUCACUGGGCUUAAAGGGUGCGUAGGCGGUUUAGUAAGUAGGGUGUGAAAUGCCAGAGCUCAACUUUGGCACGGCGCUCUAAACUGCUAAACUUGAGUGAGAUAGGGGUGUACGGAACUUCCGGUGGAGCGGUGAAAUGCGUUGAUAUCGGAAGGAACACCGGUGGCGAAAGCGGUACACUGGGUCUUAACUGACGCUGAGGCACGAAAGCCAGGGUAGCGAACGGGAUUAGAUAUCCCUGUAGU